GAUGGGAGAGAGAGAAACUCCUGUACUACCCUCCCCAGGCCCUGGGACAAUUCCUGUGCUCUCACUGGGCGCCGCGGGGUGUUGGGCAGACCCUUCAGGGCCACAUUCCAGGAAUUUGGAGGACUGUAUUCCCGAAGGCGGUGACCAGUCUGCACUCGCAGCGAGCGUCUGAAAGGCGGUGGAUCGGACUUUGAUGGGAGGGAACUGGCAGCCACAGGGUCCCUAGGUGUGUACCACCAUCCACAGCUGAUGCUUGGUGGCACUGGGCUGAUGUAGACUGGCAUCCAUCUACUUGGGCCAGACCAUGCUGUGUCCUCCUAUGAGUCUCUGUGGUGAAGGCCAACAGUGCUGGCAGGGAAAUACAUUUCCUCCUCUUCUGGGAGCUCCCAACCUCAGAAGAUGAAUUCUGUGGAAUAUGAUUGUUAUCACCUCAUGGCGAGCAUAGCUGUCUCCCUGUUACAAGCUGGUUUCGUUGGACGCGAGGGCACCAGGAGCACACCGAGGGACAGACAUACCCCUGCCCCAGGGGAAUGAUCCCUGAGAGCAGAAGCCGGAGGAAAGUGGCACCUCUUCCCCUUUCCCAUACUACUUCCUCCCACCAAGGGGUGGAAGGGUCUGAGGUAGAGGAACCUGGGUAAUAAGAGUGCAUCUAGUGGGUAGAUGAGAACACAGGUCCAGCAACAGCCUAGGGUCCAAGCUCUGGCUCUGGAUAACUGGAUAAUUGGUGACCCAUCACUUCAGGAUUGCCCCCCAAGGCUUGACGUUUAUUCCAAUUUUUUGAGCCUCUCUAGGAAGCCAGAAGGCUCUGCCCAGGAAGGAUGGCUUAGUGAAGUUUUCUCCUUGGUCUUUGGCGACACCUGGUGGUCACUGGCCAUCAUAGUACUGACUUGCCUCAGGCAGAUCCUCAGAAGCCGUCUUUCAUAUCUUCUCAUUUCAUCCAGAGGGCUCAAAGAGCUGCAAAGCUCUGCGCAAUCACACCACAAUUUAUUCCUUUUUUUCAUUCAUUGUUUUUUUUUUUAAAGAGAGAGAGAGAGAGAGAGAGAGAGAGAGAAUAUGAGAAUUUCAAUAUUUGUUUUUUAGUUUUUUUGGCGGACACAACAUCUUUGUUUGUAUGUGGUGCUGAGGAUGGAACCCGGGCCGCACACAUGCCAGACACAGAAUCUCACCAAAUUGCUGAGUCUGGCCUUGAAUGUGGGAUCCUUCCUCCUCUUCCUCUCCAGUCACUGGGAAUGCAGGUGUGUGCCACUGCUCCUGACUCCUCCUUUCUUAUUUGUUAAAAUGUGAAUGAGCACAGCCCAAGUGCCAUGGUACUGGUGACACAAGAAGCCAAGACAGCCUCUGGGUGGAUGGUGGUACCCUGAUGAGCAUAAGACUGGAGGAGGAAGAGGCUGGGAGGAAUCACCAAGAAGUCUGUUUUGGCCAGGCCUGAGGUUGGGCGAGUUUGAGAUGCCUGUUGGAUGUUUGGGAAGGAUGCCAAGGAUAUGAAGUAGAAGUCUGGAGCCUGGGAGAGGGUCAAGCCUGAGAAUUCAGUUUUGGGAGCCACAGAGAUAAACUUUGGCACCAAGGUACAAGUAAGAUGAGGGGUGGGGAGAAGGAGAAAGAAAGGUGUAUCUGAGGUUCGCUUGUAAACAGCAGUACUUAAAAAAAUUGUUUUUCUGUACUGGGGAUUGAAUGCAAGGAUCUUUUACCACCGAGCCACAUCCCCAGCCCUUUUUUAAAAAUUUUUUUUUAAAUAUUUAUUUUUCAGUUUUCGGUGGACCCAACAUCUUUGUUUUAUUUUUUAUGUGGUGCUGAGGAUCGAACCCAGCGCCCCGCGCAUGCCAGGCGAGCACAUUACCGCUUGAGCCACAUCCCCAGCCCCCCCAGCCCCUUUUUUUUUCUUUUUUUAAUUUUGAAAGAUGGGAAUAUAGUUUAGAUUCAUUUUAUAUGGAUUCAUUAAUGACUUAUACCUCAUAGGAAAUAUCACAAAAUGUUACUGCCCCGUGCAUUUUUUUUUUAAUAUUUAUUUUUUAGUAUUUGGCAGACACAACAUCUUUGUCUGUAUGUGGUGCUGAGGAUCGAACCCGGGUCGCAUGCAUGCCAGGCGAGCGCGCUACAACUUGAGCCACAUCCCCAGCCCCUGCCCCGUGCAUUUUUGCAAAGAAUAAACAAUUCAGGGAGAGUAUUAACCUUCACAUAUGUAGUUAGAGUUUAGAAAUGCACAAAAGCUUGAGUAACAAACACUUUAAACUUAUUUUUUAAACAUUAAACGAGCCUGUUCCCUCCAAACUGGUUGAUUACAAAGUCUCAUGAUGAAUUACUAACUGUGAUAAAACUAAGAGAAAAAUCAGGAGACUUGAGAACAAAAGAAUAUCCAAUUUUGCCAAUAUCAAAAGACAAAUCAAACCAUUUAUUGUAAUAGAAAAGAAAACAAAACAAAUCCAUGUAAUUAAAUACUAGUGAAAACUUUAUGGGGCAUAUGAUAUUUUCUCUACAUAAGUUUGCAUAUGUUUAAUGUAAACUGUCAUGUUUAAAUUUCAAUUAAAGAAUGUCAUACAUGGAAUUCUUUUUAUUUUUUUCUGGUGGUGGUGCUGUGGAUUGAACCCAGAGCUUUGUGAAUGUGAGGCAAACAUUCUACCAACUGAGCUAUAUCCUCAGCCCCUACAUGUAAUUCUUGAUGAAUCUAAAUGUAAUGGAAUGAAGAUUUAAAUAGAUCAAGGACCACAUCAUUUUAUUGGGUCAUUAUUGUGUUAAUGCUUUAGUGGUUUUCUUUUAAUUUAUUGGACUAAGCCAAUUUUAGAGGUAGAAUCUACAAUCAAAGCAUAUAGAGUGUAGCUGAAAAAACUAAAUGGUAUAGUCUUCAGUAUGUCAGAAGCAGUGAUUGUGCACUGUUUGAGGAGGUAUCCUAGCAGCCUGUGUGCCUUUGACUUGCAGCACUUCUGGAUUUCCUCCACUUCUGUGCUGCUGUCCAGCCCUACAAGAAGAAGACUCCAUGUCUCCAUAGGAAGCUAUCACUUUUUGCUUUGGUUCCUGGGAUUGAACCAGGGGCACUAACCACUGAGCCACAUCCCCAGCGCUUUAGAGGAAAAUCUGGCUAAAUUGUCCAGGCUGGCCUGGAAUUGCUGCAGUCUUCCCUCAGUAGUUCCUGAGUCUCUGGGGAUCACAGGCUUGAGCCACCAUGCCCAGCCUGGAAUAAACUAUUUUUUUUUUUGUUUUGUUCUGGGGAUUGAACCCAGGGUGGCUUAACCAUUGAGCCACAAACCCCACCCUUUUGAUUCUUUAUGUAGAGAUAGGGUCUUGCUAAGUUGCUUAGGGUCUCACUUAGUUGCUGAGGCUGGCAUCAAACUUUCAAUCCUCUUGCCUCAGCCUCCUGAGCUGCUGGGUUGCAGGUGUGCACCAAUGUACUCGGCUGUGUUUAUUUUUUGAGAUAUGAUCCUGACAUGUCAUCCACUCCCUUUGUAAUUGAUCCUUCAACCUCAGCCACAUAGUUGGCAUUACCAGCAUGUGCUAUAACCCAGCUGCACAUAUCUUUAAUAAACUAUUUUCUUGGGAAAAAAAAAGAAAGAAGUAGUGAUUGUGAUUAAACAAAAUUGCUAGAAGUAAAAACCAGGGACAGUGGUGCAUGCCUGUAAUCCCAGCAGCAUAGGAGGCUGAGACGGGAGGAUCGCAAGUUCAAAACCACCCUCACCCUUGGUGAGGCACUAAGCAACUCAGUGAGACCCUGUGUCUAAGUAAAAUAGAGCAGGGGAUGUGGAUCAGUGGUUGAGAGCCUCUGAGUUCAAUCCCCGGUACCCUUUCCCCCCAAAAAUUACUGCAAUCCAUGUAUAAAAUAACAUUUUAGAAGUUUUUUAUGAUGUUUGCACUGUAAUAAAAUCAAUCUGAAUAAUGUAAGUAAUAUGUGCUUAAUCAUGAAUAAAUGAAAUUUCUGGUUAACUCUG
Molecule: long non-coding RNA, 3917 nt
Organism: Marmota monax (woodchuck)
Lineage: Eukaryota; Metazoa; Chordata; Mammalia; Rodentia; Sciuridae
Exons: 6
Source: RefSeq, a predicted model, not a curated record